UCAAAAUUUAUUCAUAUUUUUCCUGAAAUUUUGUGAAUCAUGAGUCGACCCCCUAGGGUCGACCCAAUGGCAUACUUGUAAUUUUCGGCCAAAACCCCACGGAUUCCUCUCUUUUUGGUUAAAACCCUGUUCAUGAGCCGACCCUCUCCAUCUUCGUCUUCCUCCCUCCAAAACCCAUAGUCCUCUUCUUCUUUCACUCCAAAUCCAAGGUCUAAGCCCAAGAUCUUUCUUCCAUCAUCUCUCCACCUCAAAUCGCCCCUUGGGAAAGGAGCUAUUCCCAUUCUUCUCCCUUGAUUGGAG
RNAcentral lists this long non-coding RNA (300 nucleotides) under Elaeis guineensis (African oil palm). Its description in RNAcentral is "long non-coding RNA (EGUI_LNC034741)". Lineage: Eukaryota; Viridiplantae; Streptophyta; Magnoliopsida; Arecales; Arecaceae. The record is from RNAcentral.